Dermacentor albipictus is the source of this 1813-nucleotide non-coding RNA. Lineage: Eukaryota; Metazoa; Arthropoda; Arachnida; Ixodida; Ixodidae. The record is from RefSeq and is a predicted model, not a curated record.
UGAUGUAGUGCGUGCCGUUAUUGUCUGCCAUUUCCAGGAAACCCAUCCUAUAUCGGUUUAGCUAAUGCAGCAUUAAAACUUCGAUCGAACUAGCUUUUUGCUCGGAACUUGCGCGAUAACGCCACCACGCGGAAGAACAAAGCCAGGAGCAGGCAGGUCUGGUUUCUGUGGUGGUUUCGUAUGUGCGAGCAGCGGCGGCUUCGUCCCAGCUUUCAUCAUUUCCCGCGUUUUUCGCUGCUGCAAAGUCCAGCGGUGCAACGUUGUGCAUUCUCCGGCUCCUGUCAAAGGAUUACACGGACUUCUUCCGCAUGCGACCUGCGCAACACUGGCCACAAGAUCUGCGAAAAAAUUCUACAGGGAGGUGCCACUCCGACGUGGAUUUGGACACCACUUAUUGUCACAUGGACCAGUGCCGUCAGCGCCAUCGCAGACGGAAGGGCAGUGUGGCAACGCUGGCAUUAUGAGGGCUACGGGAUCCAGCUGUGGACGAAGACAACGACGAAUGCGCGAGCAGUGACGCGAGCGCGAGGGGCAGUAUGGAAACUCUGGUAAGUUGAGCGGCAAUGGAUCCAGCUGUGAAAGAAGACAGUGACCACGAAUGCGCGAGCAGUGACACGACGGCGUUCGCGCGGUUAGCUGAGGAGCCUGAACUGGUUAGCUGUGGAAGCAGACGACGACGAACGCGUGAGCAGUGGCACGAGCCAUAUUGAUGAUAGUUUUACUCGCACACAUGAAAAUUUCAAUGAACCCUAGCCGUAAACAGCUUCGCUAUAAAAAAAAAAACGAUCCCCGUUCGCGAACACACCGUGGCGCUUCCGCCUCUCUCGCCAUCGGCCCAUCCGCGCGGCCAAACCGAUAACAGCCCAAGAGCAGCGUAAGUUAAAGUUACGCAAUGGCCACCAUCGUUAGGCAUUGACAUAGUGGGACUGUGAAUAACAAUUAACUUGUGGGUGUUAGCCGCCGGGGUCGAGCUCACGCACACCACAGGGCAGAUACUCACGAUUCUUUAUGGACACAGUUGCCCCCUGGGAAAAUAUUUGUUCGUUGUUGCUCGAAGUUCCCAUAGUCGGGCAACCCGGUGUUGCACUCGACGCGUGCGCAAAGCACGCGCAGCCCCAACGAAAUGCCCAGUGGUCCCCGAGGCCAUGGCUGGGUGCGGUGAGCCCAACGCGUUCUCUUACAUUAUCGCCUUGCACAGCCGAUCGGUGAAAGUGCACGAAAACCUAACUUGUCGCCGGUGGGUACCGAGCCGCACAACCUUUUCAUUACGUGUGCGAUGCACUACCAACUGUGCUACAGCGACGGCUAUCAAUUUGUCGACUAAAUCGGGAAUUUAUUUGUUAUGUGUACUACAUCUUGGCCAAUACCACUCGGAGCCAUGGCGGAUGCCGAAAAACCUUUUUUUGCCCGUUCCGUAGAGAGCAGGAACGUGGCUAAUAAAACCUCGUAUGCUACCUAAUGGCAUCAAAACUGUCAGAUUCGAGACCUUCGCUAUGUGUGAAUGAGGAGAAUGAACAGAGUGGCUCGACUUUUGUUAAUCACGACCAUAUGAAGCCAGCAGGCAAUGAAGCCAAGGAAUGCAUAGAAGUAAUCAGCUGUGCUUUAAACAGAAAUCUAGAGAACGGAGAGAAAGUGGACGAAAAGAUAACUUGUCGCCGGCGAGUACCGAACCUACAACCUUUGCAUUACGCGUCUGAUGCACUACAAACUGUGCUACAUCGACGGCCAUCAACGUGCAUAUCUCCACUGAAGUGAUGUUGAAGCGUGUAAUUUUAGUUCUGGCCACAAGAUCGACGGUGAAAUGGCAAGACAA